GAUCCUGGCUCAGGACGAACGCUGGCGGCGUGCCUAACACAUGCAAGUCGAACGGAACUUCUUCAAAAGGUUUCUUCGGAAUGAAUUUGAUUAAGUUUAGUGGCGGACGGGUGAGUAACGCGUGAGUAACCUGCCUCUAAGAGGGGAAUAACAUUCUGAAAAGAAUGCUAAUACCGCAUAAUAUAUAUUUAUCGCAUGGUAGAUAUAUCAAAGAUUUAUCGCUUAGAGAUGGACUCGCGUCCGAUUAG
Molecule: ribosomal RNA, 248 nt
Filed under: uncultured bacterium
Lineage: Bacteria
Description: partial 16S ribosomal RNA
Rfam family: Bacterial small subunit ribosomal RNA
Source: RNAcentral